GGGACCCUUAGAGACAUUGCAGGUGUGGCUUCUGUGUCACAUAUAUAUCAGUAGGUGGCAGAGAGGAGAGAGACUAUGUCUACACUCAGUGUUCUGACCUAUGAACAUCUGAAUGAUCAGUAGCCUAACACU
RNAcentral lists this small nucleolar RNA (132 nucleotides) under Mus pahari (shrew mouse). RNAcentral's name for it is "predicted gene, 22657 (MGP_PahariEiJ_G0034036.1)". It matches the Rfam family "Small nucleolar RNA SNORA17". Rfam says of the family: snoRNA ACA 17 belongs to the H/ACA family of snoRNAs and is predicted to guide pseudouridylation of the 28S rRNA at positions U4659 and U4598. It shares the same host gene together with ACA43. Lineage: Eukaryota; Metazoa; Chordata; Mammalia; Rodentia; Muridae. The record is from RNAcentral.